This 301-nucleotide ribosomal RNA is filed under the name uncultured bacterium. RNAcentral describes it as "partial 16S ribosomal RNA". It matches the Rfam family "Bacterial small subunit ribosomal RNA", at positions 509 to 809 of the family's 1533-position model. The record is from RNAcentral.
CAGUCGCCGCGGGAAUACGUAGGGUGCGAGCGUUAAUCGGAAUUACUGGGCGUAAAGCGUGCGCAGGCGGCUUUGCAAGACAGAUGUGAAAUCCCCGGGCUCAACCUGGGAAUGGCGCUUGUGACUGCAAAGCUAGAGUGCGGCAGAGGGGGAUGGAAUUCCGCGUGUAGCAGUGAAAUGCGUAGAUAUGCGGAGGAACACCGAUGGCGAAGGCAAUCCCCUGGGCCUGCACUGACGCUCAUGCACGAAAGCGUGGGGAGCAAACAGGAUUAGAUACCCCGGUAGUCCCUGUCUCUUAUAU